This 469-nucleotide ribosomal RNA is filed under the name uncultured bacterium. RNAcentral's name for it is "partial 16S ribosomal RNA". It matches the Rfam family "Bacterial small subunit ribosomal RNA", at positions 28 to 507 of the family's 1533-position model. The record is from RNAcentral.
GACGAAUGCUGGCGGCGUGCUUAACACAUGCAAGUCGAACGGAAAGGCCCUGCUUGCAGGGUGCUCGAGUGGCGAACGGGUGAGUAACACGUGGGUGAUCUGCCCCUUACUUUGGGAUAAGCCUGGGAAACUGGGUCUAAUACUGGAUAGGACCAUGCUGUAGGUGGUGUGGUGGAAAGAUUAGUUUCGGUAAGGGAUGCGCUCGCGGCCUAUCAGCUUGUUGGUGGGGUAAUGGCCUACCAAGGCGUCGACGGGUAGCCGGCCUGAGAGGGUGGACGGCCACAUUGGGACUGAGAUACGGCCCAGACUCCUACGGGAGGCAGCAGUGGGGAAUAUUGCACAAUGGGCGCAAGCCUGAUGCAGCGACGCCGCGUGGGGGAUGACGGCCUUCGGGUUGUAAACUCCUUUCAGCCAUGACGAAGCCCUUGUGGUGACGGUAGUGGUAGAAGAAGCACCGGCUAACUACGUG